Molecule: ribosomal RNA, 429 nt
Filed under: Gemmatimonadota bacterium
Lineage: Bacteria; Pseudomonadati; Gemmatimonadota
Description: Gemmatimonadetes bacterium partial 16S ribosomal RNA
Rfam family: Bacterial small subunit ribosomal RNA
Source: RNAcentral
UAGGGAAUCUUCGGCAAUGGACGAAAGUCUGACCGAGCAACGCCGCGUGAGUGAAGAAGGAUUUCGGAUCGUAAAACUCUGUUGUUAGAGAAGAACAAGGACGUUAGUAACUGAACGUCCCCUGACGGUAUCUAACCAGAAAGCAACGGCUAACUACGUGCCAGCAGCCGCGGUAAUACGUAGGUGGCAAGCGUUGUCCGGAUUUAUUGGGCGUAUAGCGAGCGCAGGCGGUUUCUUAAGUCUGAAGUGAAAGCCCCCGGCUCAACCGGGGAAUGUCAUUGGAAACUGGGAGACUUGAGUGCGGAAGAGGAGAGUGGAAUUCCAUGUGUAGCGGUGAAAUGCGUAGAUAUAUGGAGGAACACCAGUGGCGAAGGCAGCUCUCUGAUCUGUAACUGACGCUGAGGCUCGAAAGCGUGGGGAGCAAACAGG